AAACCAUGGUGAGGGCACAUUCUUAAAAGGUCUUUGUAUCUCUCUCAUGAGUCAUAGAGUGUUUCUAAAUCCAUCUGCACAAAAGAGGAGAGAUCAUUACGUAAUUU
Molecule: small nucleolar RNA, 107 nt
Filed under: Gossypium barbadense (sea-island cotton)
Lineage: Eukaryota; Viridiplantae; Streptophyta; Magnoliopsida; Malvales; Malvaceae
Also listed under: 1 other name
Description: Plant small nucleolar RNA R71
Rfam family: Plant small nucleolar RNA R71
About the family: R71 is a member of the C/D box family of snoRNAs containing the C (UGAUGA) and D (CUGA) box motifs. Multiple nearly identical copies of this snoRNA have been identified in Arabidopsis, and it is thought to function as a 2'-O-ribose methylation guide for 18S ribosomal RNA.
Source: Rfam by way of RNAcentral